Molecule: non-coding RNA, 609 nt
Organism: Cinara cedri
Lineage: Eukaryota; Metazoa; Arthropoda; Insecta; Hemiptera; Aphididae
Source: the annotation of a GenBank genome assembly
UAAGACAUAUCUACGUAUAAUAUCAUUAUGUAUUUCAGUAGUAUAAUAUACUGUUAUCUCAACUUCGCGAUAAUCUAUUAUCGUUGUUAUUAUUAUUAUUAUUAUUAUCACUAUUAUCUUGUUCCUUAGCCUUAUAGUAAUAUGCAAUGCGCACUAACGAACGUCACUGUCGUGCAACAGGUCGGCGAAUUGAAAUUCAAAACCGAACGUCGUAAAUCAAAAUAUCCGGUCGACACAGAUGUAUAGUUCUCACAAAACAAUCAUUGCGUGAAUAAAAAAAAACUAUUUUCGAACGUUUUAACCGUCUCGACGUGUAAAACGUUAUUUAAUUAUUUGUUAUUAAUUAUUGUUACGAAUAUAAUGUCACACCCUCAGAAUAUAGUUGACUGACUGCUACAUAAUACUCCACGAGUUUUACUAGUUUUGGAUUACCCACUAACGAUGAUAUUAAUUCUGAAGAGUAAUGAUAUUUUUACAGUCCCUAAUCAUUCUUAAAAUAUAAACGGAAAUAAAUAGUUCCUAUUGCUAUUGGAUAAACAUAUACAAAUUUACUCAGUAGUUAUUCUAUUUUGUUCUUAAAUAAUUACGAUAACAUUAUAUUUAACUGCG